UACGAAGGGGGCUAGCGUUGCUCGGAAUUACUGGGCGUAAAGGGAGCGUAGGCGGACAGCUAAGUCAGAGGUGAAAGCCCAGGGCUCAACCCUGGAAUUGCCUUUGAUACUGGCUGUCUUGAGUAUGGGAGAGGUGUGUGGAACUCCGAGUGUAGAGGUGAAAUUCGUAGAUAUUCGCAAGAACACCAGUGGCGAAGGCGGCUCACUGGCCCGAUACUGACGCUGAGGCACGAAAGCGUGGGGAGCAAACAGG
Molecule: ribosomal RNA, 253 nt
Filed under: uncultured bacterium
Lineage: Bacteria
Description: partial 16S ribosomal RNA
Rfam family: Bacterial small subunit ribosomal RNA
Source: RNAcentral